RNAcentral lists this long non-coding RNA (201 nucleotides) under Elaeis guineensis (African oil palm). RNAcentral describes it as "long non-coding RNA (EGUI_LNC064501)". Lineage: Eukaryota; Viridiplantae; Streptophyta; Magnoliopsida; Arecales; Arecaceae. The record is from RNAcentral.
GUUGAUGGCGCCAAUAAGAGAAGCUUCGUGACUUCUCAUCUGAACACCGUAAGUUAAGAUCGAAGAGUCUUUCUGAAAUAAGGCAUCUCUUCAACCCAACUUUGAUGUACACAUGGCAUUUCUUAACUUAUGGGGUGUGAGAAAUAGACAAGAGGCAUGAGAUAAAUUGUAAGAGGGCAUGAGAUGUUUUGGAUUGCACCU